This 460-nucleotide ribosomal RNA is filed under the name uncultured bacterium. RNAcentral's name for it is "partial 16S ribosomal RNA". It matches the Rfam family "Bacterial small subunit ribosomal RNA", at positions 338 to 795 of the family's 1533-position model. The record is from RNAcentral.
CCUACGGGUGGCAGCAGUGAGGAAUAUUGGUCAAUGGGCGCGAGCCUGAACCAGCCAAGUCGCGUGAAGGAUGACUGCCCUACGGGUUGUAAACUUCUUUUAUAAAGGAAUAAAGUGAGGCUCGGGUGCCUUUUUGUGUGUACUUUAUGAAUAAGGAUCGGCUAACUCCGUGCCAGCAGCCGCGGUAAUACGGAGGAUCCGAGCGUUAUCCGGAUUUAUUGGGUUUAAAGGGAGCGUAGAUGGGUUGUUAAGUCAGUUGUGAAAGUUUGGGGCUCAACCGUAAAAUUGCAAUUGAUACUGGCAGCCUUGAGUACAGUUGAGGUAGGCGGAAUUCGUGGUGUAGCGGUGAAAUGCUUAGAUAUCACGAAGAACUCCGAUUGCGAAGGCAGCUUACUAAACUGCAACUGACAUUGAUGCUCGAAAGUGUGGGUAUCAAACAGGAUUAGAUACCCCUGUAGUC